This 253-nucleotide ribosomal RNA is filed under the name uncultured bacterium. RNAcentral describes it as "partial 16S ribosomal RNA". It matches the Rfam family "Bacterial small subunit ribosomal RNA", at positions 524 to 776 of the family's 1533-position model. The record is from RNAcentral.
UACGGAGGGGGCUAGCGUUGUUCGGAAUUACUGGGCGUAAAGCGCACGUAGGCGGAUUGGAAAGUUGGGGGUGAAAUCCCGGGGCUCAACCCCGGAACUGCCUUCAAAACUCCCAGUCUGGAGGUCGAGAGAGGUGAGUGGAAUUCCGAGUGUAGAGGUGAAAUUCGUAGAUAUUCGGAAGAACACCAGUGGCGAAGGCGGCUCACUGGUCCGGUACUGACGCUGAUGUGCGAAAGCGUGGGGAGCAAACAGG